GCGCACGGGUGCGUAACACGUAUGCAACCUACCUUUAACAGGUACAUAACAGCGCGAAAGCGGUGCUAAUAUACCAUGUGGUUAUUGAAUGGCAUCAUUUAAUAAUUAAAGAUUUAUCGGUUAAAGAUGGGCAUGCGUCCCAUUAGCUAGUUGGUGAGGUAAAGGCUCACCAAGGCAAUGAUGGGUAGGGGUUCUGAGAGGAUAUACCCCCACACUGGUACUGAGACACGGACCAGACUCCUACGGGAGGCAGCAGUAAGGAAUAUUGGUCAAUGGGCGAGAGCCUGAACCAGCCAUGCCGCGUGCAGGAAGACGGCCCUAUGGGUUGUAAACUGCUUUUGUCAGGGGAUAAACCUACCGACGAGUCGGUAGCUGAAGGUACCUGAAGAAUAAGGAUCGGCUAACUCCGUGCCAGCAGCCGCGGUAAUACGGAGGAUCCGAGCGUUAUCCGGAUUUAUUGGGUUUAAAGGGUGCGCAGGCGGAUUGGUAAGUCAGGGGUGAAAUUCUACGGCUCAACUGUAGGCGUGCCUUUGAUACUGCCAAACUAGAGUUAAGUUGGAGUGGGCGGAAUGUGUUGUGUAGCGGUGAAAUGCUUAGAUAUAACACAGAACACCGAUCGCGAAGGCAGCUCACUAAACUUAGACUGACGCUCAUGCACGAAAGCGUGGGAUCAAACAGGAUUAGAUACCCUGGUAGUCCACGCUGUAAACGAUGAUCACUCGCUGUUGGCGAUAUACAGUCAGUGGCUAAGCGAAAGUGAUAAGUGAUCCACCUGGGGAGUACGACCGCAAGGUUGAAACUCAAAGGAAUUGACGGGGGCCCGCACAAGCGGAGGAGCAUGUGGUUUAAUUCGAUGAUACGCGA
Molecule: ribosomal RNA, 864 nt
Filed under: uncultured bacterium
Lineage: Bacteria
Description: bacterial SSU rRNA
Rfam family: Bacterial small subunit ribosomal RNA
Source: RNAcentral